This 72-nucleotide transfer RNA is filed under the name Urocitellus parryii (Arctic ground squirrel). RNAcentral's name for it is "Spermophilus parryii (Arctic ground squirrel) tRNA". It matches the Rfam family "tRNA". Rfam says of the family: Transfer RNA (tRNA) molecules are approximately 80 nucleotides in length. Lineage: Eukaryota; Metazoa; Chordata; Mammalia; Rodentia; Sciuridae. RNAcentral also lists the same sequence under 2 other names. The record is from Rfam by way of RNAcentral.
GGGAGUGUUGCUCAGUGGUACAGCACUUGCCUAGCAUGUUUGAGGUCCUGGGUUCAAUCCUCAGCAGCCCCA